This 85-nucleotide transfer RNA is filed under the name Ignavibacteria bacterium. Its description in RNAcentral is "tRNA-Leu". It matches the Rfam family "tRNA". From Rfam's summary of the family: Transfer RNA (tRNA) molecules are approximately 80 nucleotides in length. Lineage: Bacteria; Pseudomonadati; Ignavibacteriota; Ignavibacteria. The record is from RNAcentral.
GCAGGUGUGGUGAAAUUGGUAUACACGCUUGGCUUAGGACCAAGUGCCGCAAGGCGUGAGAGUUCGAGUCUCUCCACCUGCACAA